UGGUGACUCGACAAAGUGA
RNAcentral lists this small nuclear RNA (19 nucleotides) under Arabidopsis thaliana (thale cress). RNAcentral describes it as "snRNA_00496". Lineage: Eukaryota; Viridiplantae; Streptophyta; Magnoliopsida; Brassicales; Brassicaceae. The record is from RNAcentral.